Gossypium arboreum is the source of this 849-nucleotide RNA transcript. RefSeq lists it as uncharacterized. NCBI's taxonomy places the organism in Eukaryota, Viridiplantae, Streptophyta, Magnoliopsida, Malvales, Malvaceae. The record is from RefSeq and is a predicted model, not a curated record. The transcript has 3 exons.
GCAAAAUAUCUCUCCCCUUCACUUGUGCAAGCUCUCUACAACCCAAUGUGGCUUCGACUUCUUUCAUCUCUAUUCUCUCUCUUUCAAUGGGUGGCAUUGCCUGCCCAGUCUUCAAUUUAAAAAGGAUGGUUUAUUUAUUUAUUUCCAUUUGAAUGAGAGCUUAAUAUUAAAGAAAAAAGAAAAACAUAAAGUCACAAGUUAUUGUUGUGUUUUUUGCUUGUGACUUCGAAUUUCGGUUCCUUGUUUGGAGAGGAAGGCCGAAUCCAAGACUGAAGUAUGCAGCACUUUCCUGUUAAAAGCAAUCUCCUUGAUUCAGACAACACCAAGUUCGGUUUUGGAGGUAAUGAGCAGCCCCUUUGCCCCAAGCCUCGUCGCCUUGGACCUGCUAUUCCUGACUGUCUCAAACCACUCCGAUGUACCAAACACAGACAACCCUAUACUGAUGGGAGAAGUGGAGUUCUAAACAUGAUUGCCGUGAAGUAGACAAGCGAGGGAAGAGAAUCAAGUUGCAAUGGGUGCUCGCCAUCAUGUUAUGGAGGGUCGCCACCAGGGAGAACAGGCAAUCCCUUGGUUCGUGACGUGAAUUUCAUUCAUCAAAUGGAGCUUUUCUCGCCCUUAAGCCGAGGCAAGUUUUCAGAUAAAUUUGGCAUCCCCUCUGCCUCCCCUGUUUGAGCAUUAAUGGUCCACAACAGGCAACAACAGCCUUGAAAUGGGGCAACUACUCUUUUUGUGGGAAUUUUUGGUAGACUUUUAUUUCCUUUUUCUAAUUUUAUUGUGGAUUUUUGUUUGUAAAUAUCAUGAUUCAAAUUUGAAACUAAAGUAUAUAUAUUUAUAUAGUUUAAAUAUAAA